RNAcentral lists this transfer RNA (70 nucleotides) under Parakontikia atrata. RNAcentral describes it as "tRNA-Ile". The record is from RNAcentral. Lineage: Eukaryota; Metazoa; Platyhelminthes; Tricladida; Geoplanidae.
AUAUGAGGACUGCGUGUUUGUAGGUUACUCCGAUAUAGUAAACUUUAGGGAAAAUAUUUCUCUCCAUAUU